GAACUGAGACACGGUCCAAACUCCUACGGGAGGCAGCAGUGAGGAAUAUUGGUCAAUGGACGAGAGUCUGAACCAGCCAAGUAGCGUGAAGGAUGACUGCCCUAUGGGUUGUAAACUUCUUUUAUACGGGAAUAAAGUGAGCCACGUGUGGCUUUUUGUAUGUACCGUAUGAAUAAGGAUCGGCUAACUCCGUGCCAGCAGCCGCGGUAAUACGGAGGAUUCGAGCGUUAUCCGGAUUUAUUGGGUUUAAAGGGAGCGUAGGCGGGUUGUUAAGUCAGUUGUGAAAGUUUGCGGCUCAACCGUAAAAUUGCAGUUGAUACUGGCGACCUUGAGUGCAACAGAGGUAGGCGGAAUUCGUGGUGUAGCGGUGAAAUGCUUAGAUAUCACGAAGAACUCCGAUUGCGAAGGCAGCUUACUGGAUUGUAACUGACGCUGAUGCUCGAAAGUGUGGGUAUCAAACAGGAUUAGAUACCCUGGUAGUCCACACAGUAAACGAUGAAUACUCGCUGUUGGCGAUAUACGGUCAGCGGCCAAGCGAAAGCAUUAAGUAUUCCACCUGGGGA
This 563-nucleotide ribosomal RNA is filed under the name uncultured bacterium. RNAcentral describes it as "bacterial SSU rRNA". It matches the Rfam family "Bacterial small subunit ribosomal RNA", at positions 316 to 879 of the family's 1533-position model. The record is from RNAcentral.